CACAUAAUGAUUCUUCAAAAUAUGCACCAAACCGACCUUCGACUGCAACAAACCGAUGCGACUACCAAUACAGUUACGUGGUCCAGUGCCGAAAGGAAGGUAGGACAUAGGCUUAUGGGUUUUCUUAUUUUCGGCGCUGAAGCGUUCAGGAUCGAAAGUGUUCGGGUUGGGCCAAAACUGGAAUUAAAAAAUUGUGACAACCAUAAAAAUUGCUUGAAACUUC
Long non-coding RNA from Bactrocera neohumeralis, 223 nucleotides. RefSeq lists it as uncharacterized. NCBI's taxonomy places the organism in Eukaryota, Metazoa, Arthropoda, Insecta, Diptera, Tephritidae. The record is from RefSeq and is a predicted model, not a curated record. The transcript has 3 exons.